GUAGCAAUUGACAUUCCUUAACUGGUUGUGUGACUGAUUUCAUUGUAUUGUCCUCACGUAUUUGGUUACAGGUGGUGUAAAGCAUAGCAGACGCGAUUAAGAGGAUCAAGGAGGGGCAGUGUAUGGGGUUUGAUAAAAUCUGUGCAUAUAAGCCUUAUGUUUUGUGUAAGUAGUGUUUUUCUGGAGUGGUUUUGAUUUUAUUUCCAAA
RNAcentral lists this unclassified non-coding RNA (208 nucleotides) under Hevea brasiliensis (rubber tree). The record is from RNAcentral. Lineage: Eukaryota; Viridiplantae; Streptophyta; Magnoliopsida; Malpighiales; Euphorbiaceae.